Molecule: small RNA, 64 nt
Organism: Noviherbaspirillum sp. Root189
Lineage: Bacteria; Pseudomonadati; Pseudomonadota; Betaproteobacteria; Burkholderiales; Oxalobacteraceae
Rfam family: Betaproteobacteria toxic small RNA
About the family: Overexpression in amino aid rich medium attenuates growth, suggesting role in repressing amino acid intake and metabolism.
Source: Rfam
UGUCUCCUCCAACUCUCCUUGAAUUGGAUUCGCCCGCAUUCUGCAAGGUCUGCGGGCUUUUUUC